AUACUGGUAGUGUAGUGGUUAGCAUCUCACCUUCCCAUCACUCCUUUGUGGGUAUAGGUGAGGACAUGGGUUCGAAUCCCGUCCAGUGUA
Non-coding RNA from Trichophaea hybrida, 90 nucleotides. The record is from the annotation of a GenBank genome assembly. Lineage: Eukaryota; Fungi; Ascomycota; Pezizomycetes; Pezizales; Pyronemataceae.